Long non-coding RNA from Morus notabilis, 346 nucleotides. RefSeq lists it as uncharacterized. The record is from RefSeq and is a predicted model, not a curated record. The transcript has 4 exons. NCBI's taxonomy places the organism in Eukaryota, Viridiplantae, Streptophyta, Magnoliopsida, Rosales, Moraceae.
GAGAUGAUGUUUCCAUGGAUUUUGUAGUGAAGUUAAGUAUGCAGUAAAUGUUCUCAUGGAUUUUGCAGUUAAUAUUGCCAAAAAAGGGUCGAUUAAAGUUCUGCAUAUGACUUAUUUGAUCUGCAAAGUAUGUCAAUAGAGAUGAUUUUUGGUCUUCUCUAACCUGAAAUUCAAAAGGGUCAGUUGGAACCUCAUCUAAAAACUUCUUCAUCAGGUGUUAAAGCUCUCUAUCAUUACGUACAUGCAAAGGGCCUCAAGCUUGAGAUUCAUUUUGUUAGUUUAUAGCUCUUACCCCGGCUAAUAUUGUGCAAUAUUCAUGAAUAGAUUGUAGAGCUCUAGAUUCAAU